GCAACUGCAUCUCCUCUCCUGUCACUGCUGCUGCUGCUCGCCUGCUGUGCGGACGCUUGCAGAGGUACGCCAAUAUCGCCUCAAAGAUUACCACCAGAACAAGAACUACAAUUGUGGAAUGAGAUUCCUGAAGCUUGUGCGUCCUUUCUGUCUGUUGAUUCCCAGCCUCAGGCAUCUGUUGCAUUGAGGAAGCUUUGCCGUGUCCUGAUGGAGAUUUUCCAGAAGCCUCAGUUCUUAUUUCAUUAUUCAAAGACACAGAAGUUGGGAAAUUCAAAUGUUGUGUCGUCUGUCGUGCAUCCGUUGCUGCAGCUCGUUCCUCAACUGCAUGAGAGAAGAAUGAAGAGAUACAAAGUGAAUGUAUGUAAGACCGACUGCAUGCCGGCUUUGCCGCUCUGUGGCGACCCCUUCCGCUAAUCACAGCUGUGGUCCUUUGUAAGAUACCCCUCUUCAGGGAAUACCAGGGUCCUGUAGCUCCAAGUGGGGGAUUCUUUUUAUUUAGGCCACGCAAUGGGAAGAGGUCAACAAGUUUCAUUUAAAAUGGAUGCCAAAUGAUCUUUUCAUUGAAAACUCUGCUAUGGGAUAUAAAAUGUACUCACAUUUUGUUCUCAAAAAAAAAAAAAAAAUGAUCCCUCCGAAAUGUAGUCUGUUGCAAACCCCUGUAUUGUAACAUUCUCUGCCAUGGUUGAGAUUAUGAAUGUUUAAUUUGUUGAAAAUAAAACAGCAUCUUGAAAUGUAUUGUUACAAUG
This 746-nucleotide long non-coding RNA is filed under the name Rattus norvegicus (Norway rat). RNAcentral describes it as "long non-coding RNA NONRATT009309". The record is from RNAcentral. Lineage: Eukaryota; Metazoa; Chordata; Mammalia; Rodentia; Muridae.